RNAcentral lists this ribosomal RNA (649 nucleotides) under uncultured bacterium. RNAcentral's name for it is "bacterial SSU rRNA". It matches the Rfam family "Bacterial small subunit ribosomal RNA", at positions 8 to 688 of the family's 1533-position model. The record is from RNAcentral.
AGAGUUUGAUCAUGGCUCAGAAUCAACGCUGGCGGCGCGCCUAACACAUGCAAGUCGAACGAGAAAGUGGAGCAAUCCAUGAGUACAGUGGCGUACGGGUGAGUAACACGUGGGUAAUCUACCUUUUAGUGAGGAAUAACCAAGGGAAACUUUGGCUAAUACCGCAUAAGCCUGAGAAGGGAAAGUCGAAAGACGCUGAAAGAGGAGCCCGCGGCCGAUUAGCUAGUUGGUGGGGUAAGAGCCCACCAAGGCAGAGAUCGGUAGCCGGCCUGAGAGGGCACACGGCCACACUGGCACUGAAACACGGGCCAGACUCCUACGGGAGGCAGCAGUGGGGAAUCUUGCACAAUGGGGGAAACCCUGAUGCAGCGACGCCGCGUGAGCGAUGAAGCCCUUCGGGGUGGAAAGCUCUUUCGUCAGGGAAGAUAGUGACGGUACCUGGAGAAGCAGCUGCGGCUAACUACGUGCCAGCAGCCGCGGUAAUACGUACGCAGCAAGCGUUGUUCGGAGUUACUGGUCGUAAAGGGUGUGUAGGCGGUUCUUUAUUUUCGCUGUGAAAUCUCCCGGGUUAACGCGGGAGGGUGCGGUGAACACUGAGGGACUACAAACUUAAGAGGAAAAUGUUCUUGCCGGGAAUUUUGGCGAAUUA